AAAACAAUGAGUCACCUGCUGCAGAAACAGAAAAAGUCGUCCCUUUAAAUCAGAAGACUUGCACAGAUAUCAAAACUCCAGUAGCUUCUGUGGAAAGUCAUUCAGAUGAGGAGAUUGCCCCAAAUUUUAAUGCACUUCCGAGGCCAAAAGCUUGUUGAAAUUAGCCUUAAAAAGUAGAUUAUGGCAGUAUGGAAAAGCCACCUAUGAAAGAAAAAGGACCUACAAAAAUGUCUAUUCCGUCUCUGUCAGAUUUUGAAGAUAUGGAUGAAGAAGGAGGAUCU
Long non-coding RNA from Dinoponera quadriceps, 281 nucleotides. RefSeq lists it as uncharacterized. The record is from RefSeq and is a predicted model, not a curated record. The transcript is spliced from 3 exons. NCBI's taxonomy places the organism in Eukaryota, Metazoa, Arthropoda, Insecta, Hymenoptera, Formicidae.